UACAGAGGUCUCAAGCGUUGUUCAGAUUCAUUGGGCGUAAAGGGUGCGUAGGCGGCGCGGUAAGUCGGGUGUGAAAUCUCGGAGCUUGACUCCGAAACUGCAUUCGAUACUGUCGUGCUUGAGGACUGGAGAGGAGACUGGAAUUUACGGUGUAGCGGUGAAAUGCGUAGAUAUCGUAAGGAAGACCAGUGGCGAAGGCGGGUCUCUGGACAGUUCCUGACGCUGAGGCACGAAGGCCAGGGGAGCAAACGGG
RNAcentral lists this ribosomal RNA (253 nucleotides) under uncultured bacterium. RNAcentral's name for it is "partial 16S ribosomal RNA". It matches the Rfam family "Bacterial small subunit ribosomal RNA", at positions 524 to 776 of the family's 1533-position model. The record is from RNAcentral.